This 68-nucleotide transfer RNA is filed under the name Bathytroctes microlepis (smallscale smooth-head). RNAcentral's name for it is "tRNA-Met". The record is from RNAcentral. Lineage: Eukaryota; Metazoa; Chordata; Actinopteri; Alepocephaliformes; Alepocephalidae.
AGUAAGGUCAGCUAAUUAAGCUUUUGGGCCCAUACCCCAAAUAUGUUGGUUAACCCCUUCCCCUACUA